CCUACGGGGCGCAGCAGUGAGGAAUAUUGGUCAAUGGUCGGGAGACUGAACCAGCCAAGCCGCGUGAGGGAUGACGGUACAGAGUAUCGUAAACCUCUUUUGUCAGGGAACAAAGGCGGGGACGUGUCCCCGGAUGAGUGUACCUGAAGAAAAAGCAUCGGCUAACUCCGUGCCAGCAGCCGCGGUAAUACGGAGGAUGCGAUCGUUAUCCGGAUUUAUUGGGUUUAAAGGGUGCGCAGGCGGUAUGUUAAGUCAGCGGUAAAAUCCCGGGGCUCAACCCCGGCCAGCCGUUGAAACUGGCAGUCGCGAGUUGGAGAGAAGUAUGCGGAAUGCGCGGUGUAGCGGUGAAAUGCAUAGAUAUCACGCAGAACUCCGAUUGCGAAGGCAGCAUACCGGCGCCCAACUGACGCUCAUGCACGAAAGCGUGGGUAUCGAACAGGAUUAGAUACCCCAGUAGUA
RNAcentral lists this ribosomal RNA (459 nucleotides) under uncultured bacterium. RNAcentral describes it as "partial 16S ribosomal RNA". It matches the Rfam family "Bacterial small subunit ribosomal RNA", at positions 338 to 795 of the family's 1533-position model. The record is from RNAcentral.